AGCCUCUUCAGAUGUCACUUGCCCUGUGGUAAGGAAGUGUAGUCGGCGGCUGGUGCAGAGGCAAGAAGAGAAAGGAAGUUCCCCAAGACAAAAACAUCUCGGCAGACCCUAGUCAUGGGCUACAUUCUCUGUACCAACUUCAUAGCUCCAGUCAGAAAAUAAAUUCCUGCAUCCAGGAGAGGUGGAGUAAGAGAUACAGCUCACCUUGACCACAUUUCUUACUUCCGAGAAGAUUGUAGCAGUAAUUCAUUACAGUCUUCAGGGAACACCGAGGCUUGUUUCAUUUUCCAAGUAUCAACAAGUGGAAUUGACAAGAGUGACAAGUAGUCAGAGCAAAGCAUUUCAUGAUAACUGUAAUCUGCCGGCAUCAGCAGCGACUGCUGCUAAACAUGACUGUCGUUUAUGAGAUAGGAAGAAUAAAAGGAGAGGGAUAAAAAGAUAAUUGUUGAUCUAAAUGAAGAAUUGGAUU
This 469-nucleotide long non-coding RNA is filed under the name Pongo abelii (Sumatran orangutan). RNAcentral's name for it is "lincRNA". Lineage: Eukaryota; Metazoa; Chordata; Mammalia; Primates; Hominidae. The record is from RNAcentral.